AUACGGAGGGUGCAAGCGUUAAUCGGAAUUACUGGGCGUAAAGCGCGCGUAGGCGGCUGAUUAAGUCGGAUGUGAAAUCCCUGGGCUCAACCUAGGAACUGCAUCCGAUACUGGUCAGCUAGAGUUUUGGAGAGGUAAGUGGAAUUUCCGGUAUAGCGGUGAAAUGCAUAGAGAUCGGAAGGAACACCAGUGGCGAAGGCGACUUACUGGCCAAAAACUGACGCUGAGGUGCGAAAGCGUGGGUAGCGAACAGGAUUAGAUACCCCAGUAGUCC
Molecule: ribosomal RNA, 274 nt
Filed under: uncultured bacterium
Lineage: Bacteria
Description: partial 16S ribosomal RNA
Rfam family: Bacterial small subunit ribosomal RNA
Source: RNAcentral